UCAUUACAAAAUAUUCCUUAUAACAUUAAGGGUAGCUAAAUUAUCAAGUCUAACAAAAAAAUUACCUCUUCUUAAACUGCUAAAACAACUGAACUAACAGAUGGAGGAAACUGGAUGACGAACAACGACAUUAGGGUUGGUCUAUUUGGAUCCAUCCUUGGACAAAAGAUGUUCCACCAUGUGUCCUUGCCUGAAGCUAUGCCGCAUUAUCGGGCUCCCUAGGAUUUACAUUAACAAUCUGCGGGCAUCAACGAUAGAGACAUAAGUAGGUGUUGGAUUUUCUAAUAGUAAUAUUACCUCCGUUGAUAUCAAUAUAAUUUCCAGCAGGGAAAAGUCAAAUAUGAAUCACAUAAAAUUAUAAAAAGAGUCCCAGAUUAAGAAACAUAAGCAAGAUUCUACCCUUUUGGAGUGAAACAAACAAAUAGAAUGUUUUUUGAGAAAACAGUCAAACACAGGAUCAAAAAGGAAAAUAUGGAAGACUACCUUGAUAAUUUGUGAUUCUUUUUCUCGAAAAGGAAAAUAUGGAAGACUACCUUGAUUAUUUGUGAUUCUUUUUCUCGAAUAGCUUCUGAUGUUUAUCAAUCAGCACUGAAGAUGAGUAAAGCAGUGCAGACAUGUACACGACAAGUGAUUCUAUAUACGGUGGCAGGGACGCAAGUGAAAUUAUCCAAAAGGAAGCAGUUUUUUUCCGGGACCAUGUCGCAGUGCCAGCAGCUCGUGAACAGUUGUUGCUUCAUACUACAAACAUCCAUUGAGGAGCAAAAUGUUUGUACAACAUCAGUAAAAAUCAUGAAAUAUGUACUUGCAACAUAGUAAACUUUUCCAUACUCUAUAUCCUUCUUGAAAAUUGAUUAUUCCACAAAUCUUUGUUAUUAUAAAUAUUCUUUUGCAAUAGUAUUGAAAAAAAGGAUUAGAACCUGCAGAGAGAGCUUAAGCAAUACUAAAGCAGCAAACGCAGAAUGUUUCUAUUAGAUAAACUAUAAUGUACAGCCCAAGUAAUACACAUAAUUCUAAUUCUUCAAAAAAAUUAAACGAAAAUAAUAUACAUACUUGAGAUAUUAUAAAAUAACAAUUUUAAUGUGUAAUUAAUUCAAUAUUUCUGACUUUUGAGACAAAGGAACAGUGAACUAUCAGAAGUUUUUCAUCAGCUAUAAAGAUUGACAAAGAAAAUGAAUUACUUGGCAAUGACUUCUCUACUCUAACUAUGAAAAUGAUGUACUAAAAAACUACAUUUAUUGUUCACAGAGAGGAGGGAUAAAAUCUUGAAAUAAUUAAGAGGCUAUAUUGAAUUUCAGAAACAUUUGUAACUAACACAUCUUUCCAAUACAAACUGAAAAAGAGAAAUCAAAGUUAGCUGCAAAUUCUAUUGCAAAUAGGGGUGUUCAAGGUUCGGUUUGGAUCGGUUAUUUAUCGGUUUUUUCUUAAAUAUAAGAAAUACACUACCAAACGCACAUUUCGGCGAUCACAUUUUCAACGCAACACUAUCAAAUCAAUUGCCCUUUGAGAAAUCUAUUAUUUACCAAGAUAUAUUGAUGAUAAUUGAAUCAAAUAGUGAUGAAUAAUUUAAGGACUCAAUUAAAAAUAUAUUAUUUUUAACAUGAAAUAGAUUCUUACACUUAACAAAAGAAAACUACCAAUUAAACUAGAAUGUAAAGGUAAAGAACUGUACUAAAAGUACAAAUGAUUAAUAUUUACUAUAAAAAUUUUAAAACUUUGUAUAAAAAUAUACAUAUAUAUAGGUGUAAUAAUAAAUUUAAAAUGGCUACUNNNNNNNNNNNNNNNNNNNNNNNNNNNNNNNNNNNNNNNNNNNNNNNNNNNNNNNNNNNNNNNNNNNNNNNNNNNNNNNNNNNNNNNNNNNNNNNNNNNNNNNNNNNNNNNNNNNNNNNNNNNNNNNNNNNNNNNNNNNNNNNUUUGAUUCGGGUUUUCGGAUUUUUAUGAACACCCCUAAUUGCAAAGAUUAACUUGAGGCACCAAUGCAAGCCCAAUGCUUCUAAUGCAAUACAAUCAAUGUUAAGCUUUAAAAAUAUCUCACUACUGAUAAAAUUCUUUUCAAAAUGUAUAGUUUUAUGUGAUAUCAAGUAGUUAUGUCCAACCUCUUCAGUAUUUACCGUCUUAAAAUCCUAUUUCUAAGAUAAGAUUGCAUAUUUUACUAUUCAUAAUCUUCCUAACAACAGGACGAAAUAGUGAUUGUGUACUAAACUUGAAAAAAGACACGAGCGGCUAACAAAAAGCCGAGGGUGAGCUGCAGUAGGGCUUGCUUUACCUGCAAAUAUUUUCACAAACAGGAUAUUAAAUUAGAUCACAGAAUGUUGAAAGACGGAAAAGAAAGUGGUUUCAUCUAACAUAGAAGAACCUACAUAUUUAUGUCAAGUUUUUCCCCUCAAGCAUAACAAAGAAAGUGGUUUCCAUAAUACUAACAAAGUUUUUGAAAAAAAAAAUUGAAAUAUAUAUUUACAGAAAGAAUAACAAAGCGCAAUUUGUUGUUGACCUUCAUUUCAUUCUCAAUGGAGUUGUUUGCUCCAGUUUUUGUUUCAUCUUUAACGAUUUCAGUUGGUAACGCAUAUUUAUUCUUUGGUGUAUCAAAAGAGUCUUUCUUUCUUGCUGCCUUCACAAAUGUCAGUAAACGUCUAUGCUAGGAGAGAAUGAAGAAUGUUUUCUUUUUCAACACAUGAUAAAAUAUUCAAUUCUCCAGACAUUGUGGAAGAAAUGCAUGCUAAUAAUUUUUUAGCUUGGAUUACGAACAGUUUGAGUAAGCAACUUUUUGGCAAAGACUCUUCUUGGAAAAAAAUACUAAGCUUUUUGUAAGAUCAAUCAUGUAAUAGACAUGUAUAAAUUGUUUAGUUCAAAUAAUCGCAGAAUAUUUUUACAGAUUGAAUUUGUAUUUUGAUUGAGGUUACCUUGUAAAUUUCCUCUACAGUAUGGGAUAGAGUAGUAUUUUUCUCCUUAUUCUCUCACAAUUAUCUCAAUUAUUGAGCCGGAGGCAUCUUGAAAAUCAAGAUCAAACCUGUAACAGUGUAUGACUAAAACACUAUGUUGAUAAGAACAGAAGAUUCUGGUAAAAAUUUAGUAUUAUGUCUUCAUCCACGGGAACAAGGAUGAGAGAUUCGAAUUUUGAUGCACUACUCAUGGUGAAAGAGACAAGCAUUUCUCCGUCUUCCAUGAUCUUGUCCAUGGUAGAAAACACUAAACUUUUGAAGAUUAAUAAUAAGAAAGAAACAAACACAAUAUAUGUAGGAGCAGGGAGUAGUGUUAUACCUUACAUGUAGUUGCUACAUUGUGGAUAAGGUGGGUCAAUCUGUAUUGACGUUUUGAACCUUGUAGUCAAUGAUGUAUCUACAUUAAUUAAGUACAAGAGAUUACAAAAUUACACUGUAAC
Molecule: long non-coding RNA, 3376 nt
Filed under: Nicotiana tabacum (common tobacco)
Lineage: Eukaryota; Viridiplantae; Streptophyta; Magnoliopsida; Solanales; Solanaceae
Description: long non-coding RNA (NTAB_LNC009006)
Source: RNAcentral